Molecule: long non-coding RNA, 1834 nt
Organism: Galeopterus variegatus (Sunda flying lemur)
Lineage: Eukaryota; Metazoa; Chordata; Mammalia; Dermoptera; Cynocephalidae
Exons: 9
Source: RefSeq, a predicted model, not a curated record
CAGACAGUGCGGCAGGAAGGCCCUCACCAGAUGCCGGACUCUUGAUCGUGGAUUUCCCAGACUCCAGGACUUGUUUUCUUCAACAGCAAGGAGCCUGAUUUUGGAGUGAUGGCGUUGAGGACAUGCUACCCCAGAACGUGGCACCUUGGCAUCUGAGAAAACAGCAGAAGCAGGAAGUGUUGGAGGCUGGAAAGUCCACAGUCCAGGGGACACAGCUGGUGGGAGUCUUCUUCUUGGUGCUGACUUUCUACAGCAACAUAGGGUAUCUCACGGAUGUGACACCCUGCGGCGCUGAGGGCACCACCACAGAAGGCUGUCACUAGAUGUGUCCCUGGACUUUGGACUUCCCAGCCUCUGAACCUACACGAUGUGAAGGUGAGGGCAGAGAUUAGACCGAUGCUUCUACCAGCCAAGGGAUGCCAAGGAUGGCCAGCAAACCCGAGAUCUGGAGACAGGUCUGGAGCAGGUUCUGUCUCGCAGCCUCAGAAGAAACCCACCCCACCGUGCUGCCACCUAGACCUUGGGCUCAGGCCUCCAGAAUGGAACACCAUGAAAACCAGCCAGCACCACAGAUCUCCCCAAGUCAGGCUGUUCCAGUUAUUGCUUUGCCUCUGCCGUCCAUUAUGGUAACUACGCCCAUCUUGCCUCUGGUGGUUGAGGGCCGCCGCUUGGCCCCUGCCACCCGCGAUCCAAUUAGUCCCAUUUCAUAUUUAAGUUUUCCAGUUGACUGACUGCGAUUCCUGCUGUAAGGUCCAGUCUACAGAGAAGAGCAACCACAGAGCUCUUCAGGGAUGCUGGGUCUCCUCCCACAAAUCUGUUUCUCAAAGUAUUGGUGAAAGGUGUGUCUUCUGGAGCCUCACAGAGUGGGUUCAUGCCUCCCCCCAGUGGGUGGUCAGCUGGAUAACGACGCCCCCCUGAAGAUGUCCAGAGCUCCUUCUUGAUUGGGAUGGAAUAGAACUCAUCCACCAGAUGACUGCUCGAGUGGGGAUGUCACGGCUGGCACAGCAACUGCAACUGGGCCACUGUGCAGGCUCACGGCUGGAGAGAAAUUUGCCUCGGGAUGAAUCUUGAGUCUCACCCAUAUCUGACUUAGACGAGACUUUGGAGUUGGACUUUAAAGCUGAUGCUGGGAAAAUUAAGACUUUCGAAGCUAUUGGGAUAAAGCUUUGUUAUGGGAGACUGAAAUCAAGCUCAAAACUCGUUUCUCAAAAAAAUAAAAAUUAAUUCAAAGAAAAUUUUGCAGUAGUGGACUGGGAUCCUUCCUCAGAGGGACCCAGCCUCCCCUUCGUUUAAGGGCUUCUCGGCUUGUAAACUGGCUCAAGUCUGGGAAUUCUCUGCUUUUAUGACUUGGGUCAGACUUUUGUUCCUUGACCUGGCAAGUUUUCUGCUUCUACAGAUCAAGUAAGAAUUUAGUAGGCUUUCUGUGUAUUUCUCUUCUCAGAAACUAGCCAAUGCCUAAGGUCUGCAUAAGGCACGUUUUUCCGAUGGCUGCUUUGCCUCUGCUGUCCAUUGUGGUAGCUACACCCACCUUGCUUUGGUGGCUGAGUGCCACUCUGGGACCAAUUACUCCCACUGCAUUUAAAUUUUCUAAUUGAGUAACUGAUUCCUACUGUAAGGUCUGGCUUACAGGGAAAAGCGAGCAUGGAAUUCUUCGAGGAUGCUGGGGCUGCCCUCACAAAUCUAUUUCUCAAGGUAUUGUGACAGGUGUGUCUUCUGGGGCCUCCCAGGGUGGAUGAGUAGGUCUUAAGUGACAAAUCCUCUCCAGCUUUCCAAUCUCCCUAAGCCCUUGAAUCCCUUUGCCUACGUCAAACCUCUACGUUCCCCAUAUGCUCAC